This 789-nucleotide ribosomal RNA is filed under the name uncultured bacterium. Its description in RNAcentral is "bacterial SSU rRNA". It matches the Rfam family "Bacterial small subunit ribosomal RNA", at positions 8 to 796 of the family's 1533-position model. The record is from RNAcentral.
AGAGUUUGAUCAUGGCUCAGAAUGAACGCUGGCGGCGUGCUUUACACAUGCAAGUUGAGCGAGGCCGGUAGCAAUACCGAGUCGAGCGGCGAACGGGUGAGUAACGCGUGGAUAACCUGCCCUGAGGUGGGGAAUAACCCGGGGAAACUCGGGCUAAUACCGCAUGAUACCGAGAGGUCAAAGAGGGCUCGCAAGGGCUCUUGCCACAGGAGGGGUCCGCGUUCGAUUAGCUAGUUGGUAGGGUAAUGGCCUACCAAGGCGACGAUCGAUAGCCGGCCUGAGAGGGUGAUCGGCCACACUGGAACUGAGACACGGUCCAGACUCCUACGGGAGGCAGCGGUGGGGAAUUUUGCGCAAUGGGCUAACGCCUGACGCAGCAACGCCGCGUGGAGGAUGAAGGUCUUUGGAUUGUAAACUCCUGUCAGCAGGGAAAAAGGGAAGGGACCUAAUACGUUCCUGACUUGAUUGUACCUGCAGAGGAAGCCCCGGCUAACUCUGUGCCAGCAGCCGCGGUAAUACAGAGGGGGCAAGCGUUAUUCGGAAUUAUUGGGCGUAAAGGGCGCGUAGGCGGCUUUUCAAGUGACGGGUGAAAUCCCUCGGCUUAACCGAGGAACUGCCUGUCAGACUGGAAGGCUUGAGACCGGGAGAGGUGAGUGGAAUUCCCAGUGUAGCGGUGAAAUGCGUAGAUAUUGGGAGGAACACCAGUGGCGAAGGCGGCUCACUGGACCGGAACUGACGCUGAGGCGCGAAAGCGUGGGGAGCAAACAGGAUUAGAUACCCUAGUAGUCC